RNAcentral lists this unclassified non-coding RNA (395 nucleotides) under soil metagenome. RNAcentral's name for it is "partial contains 5.8S ribosomal RNA, internal transcribed spacer 2, and large subunit ribosomal RNA". The stretch from base 1 to 122 matches the Rfam family "5.8S ribosomal RNA", at positions 35 to 154 of the family's 154-position model. The record is from RNAcentral.
GAUGAAGAACGUAGCGAAAUGCGAUACUUGGUGUGAAUUGCGGAAUCCCGUGAACCAUCGAGUCUUUGAACGCAAGUUGCGCCCGAAGCCAUCAGGUUGAGGGCACGUCUGCCUGGGCGUCACAUAUCGUUGCCCAAUGCCUAUUGCAGUGCAAUAGGAAUUUCUAGGGCGAAUGAUGGCUUCCCGUGAGCGUUGUUGCCUCGCGGUUGGUUGAAAAUCGAGUCCUUGGUAGGGUGUGCCAUGGUAGAUGGUGGUCGAGUUAGAACGAUACCGAUCAUGUGCAUGCUCCCCAAAAUAUGGCCUCUAUGACCCACACGCGUCUUUUGACGCUCAUGACGAGACCUCAGGUCAGGCGGGGCUACCCGCUGAAUUUAAGCAUAUCAAUAAGCGGAGGA